Ursus thibetanus thibetanus is the source of this 1582-nucleotide long non-coding RNA. The record is from Ensembl. NCBI's taxonomy places the organism in Eukaryota, Metazoa, Chordata, Mammalia, Carnivora, Ursidae.
AUGCGCGUGGAGUUGGCCCCGCGCUCCUUUUCGGCCAGUGAUGUCCAGGGGUCCGCAAGCCGCGGUCGCCUGGCUGCUGUCGCGGGUCGCGCCGGUGGAGGGACGCGGAGUCUGAGCCGGCGAGGCGCUCCGGGCCUCGUUCCCGAGGCCAGAAGUGUGGGCUCCGAAGGAGUGCCUCCGGAGGUACUCAGAAGAAUCUUCCAGUUCAAGAAGCCGCUUGCUCCAAGGGAAAACCCCGGAAGGGGUGGAAAGGGCAGGGGUUUUGGAGUCAGCAAGACCUGGAUUCGAAAAUCAGCUCUGACCUCUACUAGCCCUGUGAGUUUGGGUGAGUUACCUAACCUCCCUGUGCCUCCGUUUUUGCACCUGGAAACCGGAGAUUUCAGUAAAACAACUUUGAGUAGGGAUAAAAGGAUUAAAUAAAACCUUAAGUGUAGGGACGCCUGGGUGGCUCAGUGGGUUGAGUAUCUAUCUGCCUUCGCCUUAGGUCGUGAUCUCAGGAUCCUGGGGUCCUGGGAUCAAGUCCUGCUUUGGGCUCCCUGCUAGUGGGGAGUCUGCUUCUCCCUCUCUCUCCAUCUCUCUCUCCCCCUGCCCUCCUCCACCCCCAUUCAUGUACUCUCUCUCUCUCUCAAAUAAAUAAAAUCUUAAAACAAAACAAAAAACCCUAAGCGGAAAUGACACUUUUGACCAGGAACUGCGAUGUGCUACCUGCUAGCAGUGGUGGUGGUAGUAAAAGUCUUAAUAAUAAUACCUGUUAACUGCUAUUUUGAUUAUUACCACCACCUCCUCUCACAAUUGGGAACCCAAAAAUUAGUCCCUUACACAUUUACUCAAUAUCCAGCCCCAGGAACUCAUUCGAAUAUUCAUAGAAUCACACCAGCAGAACCACAAACCCUGGGUUUCCCCCACACAUGCUGCAAUUUCGUGCUUUAGAAUAAGAAAUGUGUAUUUGUUUGCCCCUUCCUGGCACUGAACUCCCCAAACCCUUGGAAUUUCCUAAGGGGUGAGAGAGUGAAGGGGAUCUUUUGUUAUGUUGAGGAACUGGAAUGUAGGGGGUGGGGGGGGGAGGGAGGGACAAGGGACUCCUAAGGUGGGGGCUGGUUGCCAGGGGAACCAACCAAGUGAGUAGAGGGUAAGAACUUUCAGUCCCACCCCCACCUCUGUGGAGGGGAGAGGCGCUGGAAAUUGAAUUCAGUCACCAAUGGCCAAUGGUUUGAUGGGUCAUGCCUACGUAAAGAAGCCUCCACCCAAAACGGGAGGAGGCUGAGAGAUUUCCAGGCUGGCGAACACGUGGAGGACCUGGAAGAGUGGAAGCUGGGCGCCCCUUCCCAGAUACUUCAUCUGGCCGUUGAACUUCAUCUGGCCACUCGAACAACUGGUGAUCCAGUAAGUAAAACAGUCCUCCGAGUUCUGUGGACCGCUCUUAGCGUACUAAUCAAACCCAGGGAGCGGUCUGACCGGCGGACUGGGAAUUGGCGUCUGCCAUAGGGGGUGGGCAGUCCUGGCCACUGGGCUCUUGACUGAGGGCAUCUGAGUUGCCCCAGCGAGAUGGUGUCAGAAUCAGGUUGAGUGGUAGGACACCCGC